This 1217-nucleotide long non-coding RNA is filed under the name Junco hyemalis (dark-eyed junco). RNAcentral describes it as "lncRNA (ENSJHYG00000000052.1)". The record is from RNAcentral. Lineage: Eukaryota; Metazoa; Chordata; Aves; Passeriformes; Passerellidae.
AGGAAUUUUUUGUUUAGUUCUUUAUUUCCCUGAGAAAUAAAGAUUUAUUCCACCUCAGUAUUGGAGUAUUGUCAAUAGCAAAAGAAGAGAGUGAAUCCAUUAAUGCAGCAAUGUCCUUUAUAAUAAUCAGAGUGACCUUGGCCUCUUACUGCAUUCUGAAUUUGAAGGUGAGAUGUCUAAAGGUACUUCACAUACAAAGCACUUAAUUGGUAAGGAACUAGAAAAUAAUUUUCUAUUGACUGAGACAUCACACAUAUUAAUGCAAACACCAUAAAAUGAAGGAAAUUAUGCAGAGCCUUUGCUUGGGAUGAUGAAGUAAAAUAUAUCAUGGAUGUAUAAAAUGUGGGAAAAUCACAAAACAAGUUCUUUAUAAUGCAAUAAAUACUAUGUAAUCCCACUGAAAUAACAUCAGAAUUAACACGAUAUUGAUAAUGUGGUGUUCCAAAAAAAGAGACAAAGAAAGGAACAGAAGAAAGAGAAGGAAGGAGAAGGAAGGAAAUAGUAAAGAGGAAGGAAGGGAGGAAAGGAGGGAGGAAGGAAAGGAAAGAAGCUUGAUUCCAAAAUUACCCAGAAUUGAAUAGUUUGUUAAAUAUGUUAAAAUCUUUUGCUGUUAUUCUUUUAAGAGAUUUUUUUUUUAAUCUCUAGCUUUGUGUAAGGAGAACCUGCCAGCAGGACAUAUUCCAUUUAAAUGCACAUAGCAGUUCCAUAUUGCCUAAAACAAAAAUAUAGUAGUUGAUAUUUAAUGAGCUCCAUGUGGUCACCAGCCCAAAGACUUUGGCUGGCUUUUGUUGUGGAAAGAACAGUUAACUUCCAUAGCUGUCUGUACUUAUUACUCAGCCAUCUUCUCAUCCCCCGUCAACACUGAAAUAUCAACUCAACCUGAUGGUUUUACUAAUCCUCAUUUGAAUCUUUUUUUUCCUCUCAGGAUUUUAAACUUUUUCAUGUUGAUAUUUACCACUUUGAAUCCAGAGCUACUAGCAAUACUUUUCUCAGCAUGUCUUUGUCUCUCUGUAAUUUUAUAUUGUAUAUCUUUCUACAGACUUUAUUUAUCACAUGACUUUGCCUCAUGGGUUGGAUAUGGUCACCAACUGGGGCAAAGCCAUGAGGUUAUAUCAGAACUGUCCCUUAGAUCCUGGAAACACAUGGAUCCAAAUCCUGAGGUGACUGAGAGGAAGGAAAUUUAAAGGAAAAACUCAAUAAAAAAUUCAAACCAACCA